Molecule: non-coding RNA, 415 nt
Organism: Peromyscus maniculatus bairdii (prairie deer mouse)
Lineage: Eukaryota; Metazoa; Chordata; Mammalia; Rodentia; Cricetidae
Source: RefSeq, a predicted model, not a curated record
AACUUCCCACUCGUCGCCCAGUGUAAAAAGGCGCAAGUCACGUGAACUCAGCCGUUCCCAAACUGGGGAACAAAGACCUCACAUCCAAACAGCCUCCAGUCACUCAUUCUAAAUUCACUCCAAGAAUUUCAGCACUGGCUGCAAUGCGACAUGUCUAAUGCCUGAAAGUAAAACAGCCCAGCAGUCUACAGAAGAGCGAAUGAGGGAAGACUGAAGCUCUACAGAGCUGCAGGUCCAUCAUCGUGGGCCUCCAAGCAUGGAAUCCAGAAGGACCGCACUUAAUCCGAGGCAAAGGAUGCUCGAGUUGCUUCUGGAACGAGGCUUUCAUUAUCUAGAAAUACUCCAAAAUUAGUCCUUAGUCUCCACAAGAGCUAAUGUUACACUUCUAAACGCAAAUGGACGAAAACUCUAGGGG